AUUUAAGUAGCUUAAGUAGUAAAGCAUGACAUUGAAGAUGUCAAGAUGUUAUAUUAUAAUCUUAAAUA
This 68-nucleotide transfer RNA is filed under the name Comicus campestris. Its description in RNAcentral is "tRNA-Phe". It matches the Rfam family "tRNA". From Rfam's summary of the family: Transfer RNA (tRNA) molecules are approximately 80 nucleotides in length. Their secondary structure includes four short double-helical elements and three loops (D, anti-codon, and T loops). Further hydrogen bonds mediate the characteristic L-shaped molecular structure. tRNAs have two regions of fundamental functional importance: the anti-codon, which is responsible for specific mRNA codon recognition, and the 3' end, to which the tRNAs corresponding amino acid is attached (by aminoacyl-tRNA synthetases). tRNAs cope with the degeneracy of the genetic code in two manners: having more than one tRNA (with a specific anti-codon) for a particular amino acid; and 'wobble' base-pairing, i.e. permitting non-standard base-pairing at the 3rd anti-codon position. The record is from RNAcentral. Lineage: Eukaryota; Metazoa; Arthropoda; Insecta; Orthoptera; Schizodactylidae.